This 465-nucleotide ribosomal RNA is filed under the name Vreelandella stevensii. RNAcentral describes it as "partial 16S ribosomal RNA". It matches the Rfam family "Bacterial small subunit ribosomal RNA", at positions 338 to 795 of the family's 1533-position model. Lineage: Bacteria; Pseudomonadati; Pseudomonadota; Gammaproteobacteria; Oceanospirillales; Halomonadaceae. The record is from RNAcentral.
UCUAGGGGUGGCAGCAGUGGGGAAUAUUGGACAAUGGGCGAAAGCCUGAUCCAGCCAUGCCGCGUGUGUGAAGAAGGCCUUCGGGUUGUAAAGCACUUUCAGUGGGGAAGAAAGCCUUGGGGCUAAUACCCUCGAGGAAGGACAUCACCCACAGAAGAAGCACCGGCUAACUCCGUGCCAGCAGCCGCGGUAAUACGGAGGGUGCGAGCGUUAAUCGGAAUUACUGGGCGUAAAGCGCGCGUAGGCGGUCUGAUAAGCCGGUUGUGAAAGCCCCGGGCUCAACCUGGGAACGGCAUCCGGAACUGUCAGGCUAGAGUGCAGGAGAGGAAGGUAGAAUUCCCGGUGUAGCGGUGAAAUGCGUAGAGAUCGGGAGGAAUACCAGUGGCGAAGGCGGCCUUCUGGACUGACACUGACGCUGAGGUGCGAAAGCGUGGGUAGCAAACAGGAUUAGAUACCCUAGUAGUC